GACGAACGCUGGCGGCGUGCCUAAUACAUGCAAGUUGAGCGCUGAAGGUUGGUACUUGUACCAACUGGAUGAGCAGCGAACGGGUGAGUAACGCGUGGGGAAUCUGCCUUUGAGCGGGGGACAACAUUUGGAAACGAAUGCUAAUACCGCAUAAAAACUUUAAACACAAGUUUUAAGUUUGAAAGAUGCAAUUGCAUCACUCAAAGAUUAUCCCGCGUUGUAUUAGCUAGUUGGUGAGGUAAAGGCUCACCAAGGCGAUGAUACAUAGCCGAACUGAGAGGGUGAUCGGCCACAUUGGGACGGAGAAAAGGCCCAAACUCCUACGGGAGGGAGCAGGAGGGAAUCUUCGGCAAUGGACGAAAGUCUGACCGAGCAACGCCGCGUGAGUGAAGAAGGGUUUCGGAUCGUAAAAAUCUGUUGGUAGAGAAGAACGUUGGUGAGAGUGGAAAGCUCAUCAAGUGACGGUAACUACCCAGAAAGGGACGGCUAACUACGUG
This 497-nucleotide ribosomal RNA is filed under the name uncultured bacterium. RNAcentral describes it as "partial 16S ribosomal RNA". It matches the Rfam family "Bacterial small subunit ribosomal RNA", at positions 28 to 507 of the family's 1533-position model. The record is from RNAcentral.